CACUCGUUCUCUCACUUUUUUUUAAGCUCUCUGUUAUUAUUUUCUGGUAAUUCUCGAGUGUUUCUGUGAGUCUCUCGCCCUCUCAGUGUUUUGAUUGCUAGGAGGAAAACCAACGUGGAGGCGACGGCGACACUUUGUUUACUACUGAGGAGCAGAGAGUACUCGGGAAGCCUGAGUGGAACGAGUCCCUCGCUUCGCCUCGACCUCGCUCGGAGCCCAAAGCGGGGCCGGGCGGGGGCCGGGGACGCUCAGCGCUCCGGGGGCGCUGGGUGGGCGGGCCGAGGCGGCCUCGCUGCAUUCUGCUCAAUCGCCUCCUCUCGACUCUGCCCACGAUUUCUUUGCAGAGAAACGUGGGGAAGUCGAAUGGAAGUGCUGAGGCGUUGAGAAGUGAAAAUGGAAGAGGGGAGAGGACCAAAGCCUUGGGGUGCAGCCCUGCCCCACUCCCAGGUGUUCCUUUAGGCCGCUUGCCCCGUGCGUCCGUCAACCCACCCCACCUUUCCCCAUCUGGGCUCCAGGUCCAGGACGUCCUGCUGAGAUCGGUGGGGCAAAAGACACAGACCGACAAGGCCUGGGGAAGAAGGGUGGAGAAAGGAGCAGAAUGCCUCCACCUGGAUAGGAAAGCAAAUCACGUGUGUCCCUCGCUCAUCUCCAGCCAAGGCUAUAGUGUGAGUAGAAAGCUCUGGAAACACAGUGGCUCUCUUAUAACUCACAGUAGCUGUUUUAUCAAGUAUGCUGUGAUGUUGGCCCUACCUGCAAAAUAUGAUAAAAUGAAAUCACCAAUGGCUCUUCCAAGAAAAACAGAAAAUCAACAAAGCACGAUCAACUGAAGUUCUUUUAUUCCCUAAGUAGUGUUCAAUUUAUUCUGCAUUUUGAAAUUUUAUCUUGAUAUUACUUUCCACCUACAUACCUCA
Physeter macrocephalus (sperm whale) is the source of this 911-nucleotide long non-coding RNA. RefSeq lists it as uncharacterized. The record is from RefSeq and is a predicted model, not a curated record. Lineage: Eukaryota; Metazoa; Chordata; Mammalia; Artiodactyla; Physeteridae. The transcript is spliced from 3 exons.